GCGUUAACGAACGAGACCUCAGCCUGCUUACUAGCUAUGCGGAGGUGACCCUUCGUGGCCAGCUUCUUAGAGGGACUAUGGCCGCUUAGGCCACGGAAGUUUGAGGCA
Molecule: ribosomal RNA, 108 nt
Filed under: Cymodoceaceae sp. EsgC50
Lineage: Eukaryota; Viridiplantae; Streptophyta; Magnoliopsida; Alismatales; Cymodoceaceae
Description: partial small subunit ribosomal RNA
Source: RNAcentral